This 178-nucleotide non-coding RNA is filed under the name Thermosinus carboxydivorans. RNAcentral also lists the same sequence under 1 other name. The record is from RNAcentral. Lineage: Bacteria; Bacillati; Bacillota; Negativicutes; Selenomonadales; Sporomusaceae.
AACUUAAUAUAUGGGUUAGGUGCCCACAGGGCUUAAUAGGGAAGUCCGGUGCAAGACCGGCGCGGUCCCGCCACUGUAAUGGGGAGCGAACCAAAAUACGCCACUGAGGCUAGGCCUUGGGAAGGUUGGGGUAGCUAUGAGCCAGAGCCAGGAGAACUGCCUAACUGACAAUCACCGC